AUAUUGGCCGGAGACCGAUAGCGCACAAGUAGAGUGAUCGAAAGAUGAAAAGCACUUUGAAAAGAGAGUUAAAAAGCACGUGAAAUUGUUGAAAGGGAAGCGCUUGCGACCAGACUCGCUCGCGGGGUUCAGCCGGCAUUCGUGCCGGUGUACUUCCCCGCGGGCGGGCCAGCGUCGGUUUGGGCGGUCGGUCAAAGGCCCUCGGAAGGUAACGCCCCUAGGGGCGUCUUAUAGCCGAGGGUGCAAUGCGACCUGCCUAGACCGAGGAACGCGCUUCGGCUCGGACGCUGGCAUAAUGGUCGUAAACGACCCGUCUUGAAACACGGACC
This 329-nucleotide ribosomal RNA is filed under the name Penicillium chrysogenum. Its description in RNAcentral is "LSU rRNA". It matches the Rfam family "Eukaryotic large subunit ribosomal RNA", at positions 320 to 667 of the family's 3401-position model. Lineage: Eukaryota; Fungi; Ascomycota; Eurotiomycetes; Eurotiales; Aspergillaceae. The record is from RNAcentral.